AGGUCCCCCCGGGCGUCGAUGAAUGUGGGGUACCAUUCCUUGAUGAUGUGGUCAUGUUUGUAGUCGGCCUUAUUGUCCUUUAGAUGUUCCACGGUGUUCCGCUCGCUCUUCUCAUAGGCCUCCCGGGGCUUCCGGACAGACACCUUGCAUUCUCGGACCUUGUUGACGAUGAAUUCUUGGAUGAGAAACCUGAUAUCUUCCAUGAGGCAGUCAUCAUAAAGAAGUCUGAAUAUCUUGGUUGAGAGCUAGACUUUGGAAACAGAGAGACCCUGUAUAAUAACAGACUAAGAAGUAAGGAAGACAAGCCCAGCCAGUCCCACAACUAUUUCAUUAAUACCAGGUAAAGCAACAGACCUGCCAGUGAAGCAUCUUGGAUCCUUUAGCUUUAGGAAAUCUACUCCAGUCCUGUCCUGUGGAAACUAAUGGGAGUGCCAGGAGGCCUAACCAUCUGAGGUGAAUUGAAAAGAAAAAGCAGCGUGCUGAUUGCAGUGACUGGUGCAUGGAUCUCGAUGGCUACUCUGUACUGUAGGCAGUGAUGACACCCUGUUGAGGAGAUUGGUAGGAGCCAUAGCAACACAGGAGGCACAAUUUUAGGGAUGGUUUACAUUCCUAGCUGGAGUUUCCACAAAGCCCAGGUGUUCUUCAUAUUUUCUAAAUUUGAAUUCGUGACUGCUAAAUGUGUUUCAAAUAUCUUUUCAGAUUCAUAGGGUUUGGUGUUCACUUUGUUUUUAUGAGUCUUUUGAUGAAUAUAAGUACUUAAAUUUAAUACAUUUCAAUGUAUCAUUUUUUAUCCAUUAAGCCAUGUGAAAUUCGUUUUGCUUAAGGUAUGAAUGUUAUUUUAAUUUGAAAAAUCUAUAUAAUAAAGUAAUCCAUAAAUACUUAAAUAGUCUAUCCAGUUCCACUGAUUUGAACAAACACUUCUGUUAUAUCCAUAUUCCAUAAAUGUAUAGGUCUGUAGCUUUCUAUUCUGUUCUCCUUUUUUAUUUGCCUUUUUUGUACUAUUUCCACACUGUCCUAAAUAUUUAUAGCUUUAGAAGAAGUCGUUAUAUUUAAAACUAGAAUUCCUUUUUCCUUGUCUGUUUUCAGGAAUUUUUCUGUUUUUCUUGUCCCUUUACUUUUCCAAAUAAUUUAGAAUAAAGUUGUCAAGUAGAAAAAAUAUAUUGUUAUGAUUAUAAAUAGAAUCACAUUAAAUCUAUAUCUCAAUUUAGAGACAUUUGUCAUCUUUGUAAUAUCUUUUCCUAUGAAUAUGAUAUAACGUUUUAUAUCCUGUUUCAUUUCUUUCAAUAUAUAAUAUGGUAUAAUUUCAUUUAAAAAGCUUUUGUAGAACCUUAGAUUUAUUCAUAAUUUAUUUUUGAUACUAUUCUUAAAUUUCAGACAUCAUUUGAUUUUUGUAUAUUGACCUUGUGUAUGUCAAACUUGCCUAACUUUAUUAAUUUUAAUUACUUGCUUUUGUAAACUUUUUGUAAACUUGAGUUUUAUUUCAGUCUAGAAUCAUAACAUCUGGCAUCACUGAUAUUUUUGUUUUCAUUUCUAAUGAAUUUUAUUUCUUUGUAUUUUCUUAUGUUUAUGGCUAAACAACCAAUUUUGUGUUGAAUGUAAAGGCUGACAAGAAAUAUCCUUUUAUCAUUUGUGAUAUUAAAAUGCAUUAUUUUAAAAUAAUAAAACAUUUUUACA
This is a long non-coding RNA of Homo sapiens (human), 1674 nucleotides long. The record is from Ensembl. NCBI's taxonomy places the organism in Eukaryota, Metazoa, Chordata, Mammalia, Primates, Hominidae.